Long non-coding RNA from Triticum aestivum (bread wheat), 887 nucleotides. RefSeq lists it as uncharacterized. The transcript is spliced from 4 exons. The record is from RefSeq and is a predicted model, not a curated record. Lineage: Eukaryota; Viridiplantae; Streptophyta; Magnoliopsida; Poales; Poaceae.
CUCGACUAUUUUGUAAUUCGGCGACUAAGUGGAUAUUGCUCUGUUCUGUUCGGCCUUUCUUCUCGAUACGGCCUGUUUCGCCACCGCCGCCGCCUAGGUCAUGUCCUACCGCCGCCGGCUACCAUGGACUGGAUAUCGGCGCUGCGGGAGUCGGUGUCGUUCGAGGGGUUCCUAUCCGAGCCAGUCCAGUGGUAUACCAUGGCACAUGUCUGCUGGCACCGACGGCUACCAUGGCGCAUGUCCAAUAGCCGUACAGGUCAAUUUUUCUGCCGGCUGCAGCAGGAUCUGCCACCUCCAACUGCGAUGUUGCGUGCAUUAGCAGUUCUGGACCAAUCUAGAGUUGUACGCCAUUCUUGCCCAUGGCUCGUUCGUCGGAAGUGCAACACAUAUGGGAGGAGCCGAGCUCAUAUGGGAUGGUGGAGUACAUGUUUUUGUAUGGCUUGUGGGUUGCUGGUCUAGUGGCAUCUAACUUUCUGUUGUACCGGUUGUGUCACAGGAAUGGAAAGCUUACAUUGUGCUAACUUGAACUGAAUCACCUAAGGUGUGCAUUUGCGCUGACCAAUGGGAGCGUACAUGCUGCAAACUGCAUGGCUCGCAGCUCUCAAGUUCAGUUAGUUGUUAGUCUGCUGAUAAGCCACGACCAACUUAAUGGUUCGUUCUAGUACUGGGCAUUGUCAUGGUCAGCUUUGGUUCUAAUUCUGUAAUUGUGCUCAGAGUGUAGUGCAUCUUGUAGUAGCUGAAUCUGUAACUAGCCUUGGUGGCCAUGUAAUUCAGCUGGAUCUAGUAUGUUCUCGCCCUAGUACUCGUGCUAACUAGUGUCAAAAAACAUCUUACAUUAUGGGACGGAGGGAGUAAUUAUCUAUGAAAGUUUCAGUUUCUUGACCUAA